Carassius carassius (crucian carp) is the source of this 837-nucleotide long non-coding RNA. RefSeq lists it as uncharacterized. NCBI's taxonomy places the organism in Eukaryota, Metazoa, Chordata, Actinopteri, Cypriniformes, Cyprinidae. The record is from RefSeq and is a predicted model, not a curated record. The transcript is spliced from 2 exons.
UUUAUAGACACACACAGUAUAUAUAUAUAUGUAUGUAUUUGUUUAUGUCUAUGUAUUUAUUAACAGACUAGCUUAAAUGAAAUGUUGCUUUAGAGCGGAUCAAAGCCUUUAAUAUUUGAAGAAGACUGAAAGGUACUUAUGCGGUUUCCCAGAAGAGCAGAUGAAGGUUAAUUCCAGGAAAUUUUGUUGUGGUGAAGAGGUCACUAAGUAGAUACCCAUUUGCUGGUGUGGCCGAACUGACCAAUCAGAUCUCAGCAAUGACUAAGCAGGUGGAGGGAGUUUCCCAAGGUUAUUUAACCUAAAGAAUAACUAUGAUGCCACUCUGAUGUCAGUUUGAUGAAGCACAUGGUCCAUAUUUACAGACAAGACAAGAGUAGGACAGGAUGACAAACGAGGAAUUUUUUCCAUUGAAAACUGUUUAAUGUUCUGAAGUGAGGAAAUUAUUAGGGAUUGUUUUGUUGCUAUGUUGGCUUUUUUUUCUUUUAGAGGGUCAGGCUGUGUUUUAUAACCAGGAAUUCAGGAAUUCAUCCAGCAGAGUAUGGUUUGAGUUACUUAUUAUUUAUUCCCAGCCGGAUCCAAACACACUCAUGGUUUUCCUGUUUAUGUGGACAGUGCGUAUCAUAAGCCAAAGAAAUUGCCUGGAAAAAAAGGAGCAGUCAUUGGCACUCCACAUUAGAAUGAAUAACUUGGCCAUCAGGGAACAAACUGAAUCAUCAGGAAAACAUUAGAGAGAAAUAAUUGUAUAUUCUUGUAAAGUUCAUUAUUUCAUUACAUUCUGUAUUGAAGUUUUUAAUGUAUGUUGUGCAAAGAAUAAAGUUUUCAGUCACAAAUCAAGAA